AACAACUCACCUGCCGAAUGAAUUAGCCCUGAAAAUGGAUGGCGCUUAAGCGGGUAGCCGACACCACGCCGUUUGGGCAAGUAAUUGUUCCCAAAUGAGUAGGAGGGACGUGGCGGUCGUAUCGAAGCGUUCCGUGCGAACGGGCGUGGAACGGCCGCUAGUGCAGAUCUUGGUGUUAGUAGCAAAUAUUCAAUUGAGAUCCUUGAAGGGCGAAGCGGGGAAGGGUUCCACGCGAACAUUGAUUGAGCGUGGGUGAGUCGUUCCUAAACCACGUGGCAAUAGCUAAGUAUUGGUGAAAGGGAAGCAGGUUGACAUUCCUGCACACGAAUGUAGACGCGGUGACGCACUUCUGGGGGUGAUGAAGCUGGCGAUGGCACUGGGCAGAGUUGUCUUUUCUGUUUAACCUUUGGCUUGACAUGCUGUGUGGAAUCCGCUUGUCGGGAGAAGCACGCAUGCUUGGGCAUAGCGCCGGGGUGUUUUCCGGCGUCCAGCUCGCCAUCGUCGGACCUUGAAAAAUUACCUGCUGGCACUUGGUCGGUUUGAAGACCUUGUGUGGAAGAACUCUACGUCGUAACGUACCCAUAACCGCAUCAGGUCCCCAAGGUGAACAGCCUCUGUUCGAUAUGAAAAAU
This 632-nucleotide ribosomal RNA is filed under the name Dasya sp. ARS-2011. RNAcentral's name for it is "eukaryotic LSU rRNA". It matches the Rfam family "Eukaryotic large subunit ribosomal RNA", at positions 1284 to 1900 of the family's 3401-position model. Lineage: Eukaryota; Rhodophyta; Florideophyceae; Ceramiales; Dasyaceae. The record is from RNAcentral.